GGGUUGUUAGCUCAGUGGUAGAGCAGUUGGCUUUUAACCAAUUGGUCGAAGGUUCGAAUCCUUCACAACCCA
Molecule: transfer RNA, 72 nt
Filed under: Marinospirillum alkaliphilum DSM 21637
Lineage: Bacteria; Pseudomonadati; Pseudomonadota; Gammaproteobacteria; Oceanospirillales; Oceanospirillaceae
Rfam family: tRNA
About the family: Transfer RNA (tRNA) molecules are approximately 80 nucleotides in length. Their secondary structure includes four short double-helical elements and three loops (D, anti-codon, and T loops). Further hydrogen bonds mediate the characteristic L-shaped molecular structure. tRNAs have two regions of fundamental functional importance: the anti-codon, which is responsible for specific mRNA codon recognition, and the 3' end, to which the tRNAs corresponding amino acid is attached (by aminoacyl-tRNA synthetases). tRNAs cope with the degeneracy of the genetic code in two manners: having more than one tRNA (with a specific anti-codon) for a particular amino acid; and 'wobble' base-pairing, i.e. permitting non-standard base-pairing at the 3rd anti-codon position.
Source: Rfam by way of RNAcentral